UGGGGUGUCCUAUAGCGGCAAUUAGACCAGACUGUAAAUCUGACGGCUUCGGCCUUCGUAGGUUCGAGUCCUACCGCCCCAACCA
This 85-nucleotide transfer RNA is filed under the name Hoylesella nanceiensis. RNAcentral's name for it is "tRNA-Tyr(gta)". It matches the Rfam family "tRNA". From Rfam's summary of the family: Transfer RNA (tRNA) molecules are approximately 80 nucleotides in length. Their secondary structure includes four short double-helical elements and three loops (D, anti-codon, and T loops). Further hydrogen bonds mediate the characteristic L-shaped molecular structure. tRNAs have two regions of fundamental functional importance: the anti-codon, which is responsible for specific mRNA codon recognition, and the 3' end, to which the tRNAs corresponding amino acid is attached (by aminoacyl-tRNA synthetases). tRNAs cope with the degeneracy of the genetic code in two manners: having more than one tRNA (with a specific anti-codon) for a particular amino acid; and 'wobble' base-pairing, i.e. permitting non-standard base-pairing at the 3rd anti-codon position. Lineage: Bacteria; Pseudomonadati; Bacteroidota; Bacteroidia; Bacteroidales; Prevotellaceae. The record is from RNAcentral. RNAcentral also lists the same sequence under 1 other name.